RNAcentral lists this long non-coding RNA (276 nucleotides) under Junco hyemalis (dark-eyed junco). RNAcentral's name for it is "lncRNA (ENSJHYG00000001453.1)". The record is from RNAcentral. Lineage: Eukaryota; Metazoa; Chordata; Aves; Passeriformes; Passerellidae.
ACCGAGCCCACGCGGGUCCGGUCGGAUCGGGCUGAGCGCUGCCCGCGGCCCCCGCAGGACGCUCCGGAGCUGGAGCCGCUGCCGAUGGGCCAUGCCCCAGCGCCGUGAGCAGCCCCGCGCUGGUGCCCCAGGAGCCGCAGCCCGGCCCGGCCAUGGACAGCUCAGAGCUGGAGUCGGACAUCCUGCGGCGGGUGCGGACGCUGCUGCGGGAGGUGGACGGGCACCACCCGUCCUGCCAGAGUGACCGAGGUGAGCACUGCCCAUGCCCGGGCACAG